AAUCAAGCGUUUAAGGGCGUGUGGCGGAUGCCUUGGCACUGAAAGCCGAUGAAGGACGUGGUAUACUGCGAUAAGUUUCGGGGAGCUGUAUGCAAGUUUUGAUCCGAAAAUUUCCGAAUGGGGAAACCCACCACUUUAUGUGGUACUUUAAACUGAAUUCAUAGGUUUAAAGAGACAACCUGGAGAACUGAAACAUCUAAGUAACCAGAGGAAAAGAAAUCAAUUGAGAUUCCGUUAGUAGUGGCGAGCGAAAGCGGAAUAGGCCAGUAAAUUUGUUAAAAAAAUUUGAAUAGUUUGGAAAAACUAACCACAGAGGGUGAUAGUCCCGUAUGAGUAAUGUUUAACAAAUUUCUUGAGUAAAGCGGGACACGUGAAAUCCUGCUCGAAUAUAGGGGGACCACCCUCUAAGCCUAAAUACUCUUCAGUGACCGAUAGUGAACUAGUACCGUGAGGGAAAGGUGAAAAGAACCCCUAUUAGGGGAGUGAAAUAGAACCUGAAACCGCAUGCCUACAAUCAGUCGAAGCUCUUUUUAGAGUGACGGCGUACCUUUUGUAUAAUGGGUCAGUGACUUAAUUUAUUAAGCAAGCUUAAGCCAUCUAGGUGUAGGCGCAGCGAAAGCAAGUCUUAAUAGGGCGAUUAGUUUAAUGAAUUAGACCCGAAAACGAAUGAGCUUACCAUGAGCAGGUUGAAAGCAAGGUAACACUUGCCGGAGGACCGAACCAGUUGACGUUGAAAAGUCUUUGGAUGACUUGUGGUAAGGGGUGAAAGGCCAACCAAAUUCGUAGAUAGCUGGUUUUCCGCGAAAACUAUUUAGGUAGUGCGAUGAAUAAAUAUACGUUUAGAGGUAGAGCACUAAAUGGGCUAGGGGGAAGAGAUUCUUACCAAACCUAAUAAAACUCCGAAUGCUAAACGUAGUUCUUCAUCAGACAGACUGUGGGUGCUAAGGUCCAUGGUCGAGAGGGAAAAAGCCCAGACCACCAGAUAAGGUCCCGAAAUUGUGAUUAAGUGUGAAAGGAUGUGGAAAUUCCUUAACAGCCGGGAGGUUGGCUUAGAAGCAGCCAUCCUUUAAAGAUAGCGUAACAGCUCACCGGUCUAAUAGAGUUUCUGCGCCGAAGAUGUAACGGGGCUAAAAUCACAUACCGAAUCUGUGGGUUUAUAAAAUUUUCGAAUUUUAUAAGCGGUAGCGGAACGUUCUGUAAGCCUGUAAAGGGAUACCCGUGAGGGAUCCUGGAGGUAUCAGAAGUGCGAAUGCUGACAUAAGUAACGAUAAACGAAGUGAAAAACUUCGUCGCCGAAAAUCUAAGGGUUUCUGCGCAAGGUUAAUCCGCGCAGAGUUAGUCGGCCCCUAAGGCGAGGGCGAAAGCCGUAGUCGAUGGAAAUAAGGUUAAUAUUCCUUAACCAGAUGGAAGUGACGGAUUUUGUAAGUUGUGAGUUCUUAAUGGAUUGAACUUGCCGCGAAAAAGUCCCAGGAAAUAGCUCCAUCAUUAGACCGUACCCUAAACCGACACAGGUGGAUUAAUAGAGUAUAUUUAGGCGCUUGAGAGAAUGAUGUUGAAGGAACUCGGCAAAAUGCUUCUGUAACUUCGGAAUAAAGAAGACCUUUUUUUGGGCAACCAUUAAAAGGUGGCACAAGCCAGGGAGAAGCGACUGUUUAUCAAAAACACAGGGCUCUGCUAACACGUAAGUGGAUGUAUAGGGUCUGACGCCUGCCCGGUGCUGGAAGGUUAAUGCGAUGGGUGCAAGCUCAUUUCUGAAGCCCCAGUAAACGGCGGCCGUAACUAUAACGGUCCUAAGGUAGCGAAAUUCCUUGUCGGGUAAGUUCCGACCUGCAUGAAUGGCGUAACGAUUUCUCCGCUGUCUCCAACAUCAACUCAGUGAAAUUGAAUUCUCCGUGAAGAUGCGGAGUUCGCGUAGUUAGACGGAAAGACCCCGUGCACCUUUACUGCAACUUUACAUUGGUGUUAGGAAAAACAUAUUUAGCAUAGGAGGGAGACAUUGAAGCAAAGGCGUCAGCUUUUGUGGAGUCACCAGUGAAAUACCUCUUUUGUUUUUCUUGGCAUCUAACUGAUUGCCGUUAUCCGGCAUCAAGACAUUGUAUGGUGGGUAGUUUGACUGGGGCGGUCGCCUCCCAAAUAGUAACGGAGGCGUGCGAAGGUAAGCUCAGAACGGUCAGAAAUCGUUCGUAGAGUGCAAUGGCAUAAGCUUGCCUGACUGUGAGACUGACAAGUCGAGCAGAGUCGAAAGACGGUCAUAGUGAUCCGGUGGUUCUGAGUGGAAGGGC
Molecule: ribosomal RNA, 2282 nt
Filed under: Acidimicrobiales bacterium
Lineage: Bacteria; Bacillati; Actinomycetota; Acidimicrobiia; Acidimicrobiales
Description: partial 23S ribosomal RNA
Rfam family: Bacterial large subunit ribosomal RNA
Source: RNAcentral